This 749-nucleotide ribosomal RNA is filed under the name uncultured archaeon. RNAcentral's name for it is "bacterial SSU rRNA". It matches the Rfam family "Archaeal small subunit ribosomal RNA", at positions 52 to 750 of the family's 1478-position model. The record is from RNAcentral.
UGCUAGUUGUGCGGGUUUAGACCCGCAGCGGAAAGCUCAGUAACACGUGGCCAAACUACCCUGUGGAUGGGAAUAAUCUCGGGAAACUGAGGCUAAUUCCCAAUAAUGCUCGACCCCUGGAAUGGGUUGAGCUGGAAACGCUACGGCGCUAAUCAGACCUAGUCUCAUUGCGCCACGAGACGCUCUGCGUCUCGUUCGCGCCACAGGAUGUGGCUGCGGCCGAUUAGGUAGACGGUGGGGUAACGGCCCACCGUGCCCAUAAUCGGUACGGGUUGUGAGAGCAAGAGCCCGGAGACGGUAUCUGAGACAAGAUACCGGGCCCUACGGGGCGCAGCAGGCGCGAAACCUUUACACUGUACGCAAGUGCGAUAAGGGGACUCCGAGUGUGAAGGCAUAGAGCCUUCACUUUUGUACACCGUAAGGUGGUGUACGAAUAAGGGCUGGGCAAGACCGGUGCCAGCCGCCGCGGUAAUACCGGCAGCCCGAGUGAUGGCCGAUCUUAUUGGGCCUAAAGCGUCCGUAGCUGGCCGCGCAAGUCUAUCGGAAAAUCCACCCGCUCAACGGGUGGGCGUCCGGUAGAAACUGUGUGGCUUGGGACCGGAAGGCGCGACGGGUGCGUCCGGGGUAGGAGUGAAAUCCCGUAAUCCUGGACGGACCGCCGAUGGCGAAAGCACGUCGCGAAGACGGAUCCGACAGUGAGGGACGAAAGCUAGGGUCUCGAACCGGAUUAGAUACCCGGGUAGUCCUAG